RNAcentral lists this ribosomal RNA (749 nucleotides) under uncultured bacterium. Its description in RNAcentral is "bacterial SSU rRNA". It matches the Rfam family "Bacterial small subunit ribosomal RNA", at positions 51 to 790 of the family's 1533-position model. The record is from RNAcentral.
ACACAUGCAAGUCGAGGGGCAGCAUGAUUGAAGCUUGCUUCAAUUGAUGGCGACCGGCGCACGGGUGAGUAACACGUAUCCAACCUGCCGACAACACUGGGAUAGCCUUUCGAAAGAAAGAUUAAUACCGGAUGGCAUAAUUAUUCCGCAUGGGAUAAUUAUUAAAGAAUUUCGGUUGUCGAUGGGGAUGCGUUCCAUUAGGCAGUUGGCGGGGUAACGGCCCACCAAACCUACGAUGGAUAGGGGUUCUGAGAGGAAGGUCCCCCACAUUGGAACUGAGACACGGUCCAAACUCCUACGGGAGGCAGCAGUGAGGAAUAUUGGUCAAUGGACGAGAGUCUGAACCAGCCAAGUAGCGUGAAGGAUGACUGCCCUAUGGGUUGUAAACUUCUUUUAUACGGGAAUAAAGUGAGCCACGUGUGGCUUUUUGUAUGUACCGUAUGAAUAAGGAUCGGCUAACUCCGUGCCAGCAGCCGCGGUAAUACGGAGGAUUCGAGCGUUAUCCGGAUUUAUUGGGUUUAAAGGGAGCGUAGGCGGGUUGUUAAGUCAGUUGUGAAAGUUUGCGGCUCAACCGUAAAAUUGCAGUUGAUACUGGCGACCUUGAGUGCAACAGAGGUAGGCGGAAUUCGUGGUGUAGCGGUGAAAUGCUUAGAUAUCACGAAGAACUCCGAUUGCGAAGGCAGCUUACUGGAUUGUAACUGACGCUGAUGCUCGAAAGUGUGGGUAUCAAACAGGAUUAGAUACCCUGG